Molecule: ribosomal RNA, 169 nt
Filed under: uncultured bacterium
Lineage: Bacteria
Also listed under: 1 other name
Description: partial 16S ribosomal RNA
Rfam family: Bacterial small subunit ribosomal RNA
Source: RNAcentral
CCUACGGGAGGCAGCAGUGGGGAAUAUUGGACAAUGGGGGAAACCCUGAUCCAGCAAUGCCGCGUGAGUGAAGAAGGCCUUAGGGUUGUAAAGCUCUUUCGCCCGUGACGAUGAUGACGGUAACGGGAGAAGAAGCCCCGGCUAAUUCCGUGCCAGCAGCCGCGGUAAU